GACGAACGCUUGCGGCGUGCCUAAGAAAUGCAAGUCGAACGGGCAUCAGUAAUGGUGUCAGUGGCGAACGGUCGCGUAACACGUAAGCAACCUGCCCCGAAGUUUGGGACAACAGCCUGAAAGGGCUGCUAAUACCGAAUGUGGUCCAAGCGCUGCCCUGGUGCUUGGUCUAAAGCUUAAUGUGCUUUGGGAUGGGCUUGCGGCCUAUCAGGUAGUUGGUGUGGUAAUGGCGCACCAAGCCUUUGACGGGUAGCUGGUCUGAGAGGACGAUCAGCCGGAUUGGGACUGAGAUACGGCCCAGACUCCUACGGGGGGGCAGCAAUUAGGAAUCUUGCGCAAUGGGGGCAACCCUGACGCAGCGACGUCGCGUGGAGGAUGACGGUCUUCGGAUUGUAAACUCCUUUUAGCAGGGAAGAAAAAAAUGACGGUACCUGCUGAAUCAGCCCCGGCUAACUACGUGCCAGCAGCCGCGGUAAUACGUAGGGGGCGAGCGUUGUCCGAAGUUACUGGGCGUAAAGCGCGCGUAGGCGGUUUCUUAAGUUUGGGGUGAAAGGUUCAACGCUCAACGUGAACAGUGCCUCGGAUACUGGGAAACUUGAGUUCGGGAGAGGGCAGUGGGAUUCCUGGUGUAGCGGUGAAAUGCGUAGAUAUCAGGAGGAACACCGGUGGCGAAGGCGACCGCCUGGCCUAGAACUGACGCUGAGGCGCGAAAGCGUGGGGAGCGAACGGGAUUAGAUACCCCGGUAGUCCACGCUGUAAACGAUGGGUGCUAGGUGUCGGGGGUAUCGACCCCCCCGGUGCCGUCGCUAACGCAGUAAGCAUCCCGCCUGGGGAGUACGGCCGCAAGGUUGAAACUCAAAGGAAUUGACGGGGGCCCGCACAAGCGGUGGAGCAUGUGGAUUAAUUCGUCACUAACCGAAGAACCUUACCCAGACUUGACAUUGAGGGAAAAGCGGUGAAAGCCGUUCCUCCCCUUCGGGGGACCCGAAAACAGGUGUUGCAUGGCUGUCGUCAGCUCGUGUCGUGAGAUGUUGGGUUAAGUCCCGCAACGAGCGCAACCCUCACCGUAUGUUGGCAGCGUAAAGUCGGCCACUCUUACGGAACUGCCUAUGCAAGUAGGAGGAAGGUGGGGAUGACGUCAAGUCGGCAUGGCCCUUACGUCUGGGGCUUCACACAUGCUACAAUGGUUGGGACAGACCGUAUCCGAGACCGCGAGGUGGAGGCAAUCGGAGAAACCCAAUCUCAGUUCGGAUUGCAGGCUGCAACUCGCCUGCAUGAAGCUGGAAUCGCUAGUAACCGCCGGUCAGCGAAACGGCGGUGAAUCCGUUCCCGGGCCU
Molecule: ribosomal RNA, 1337 nt
Filed under: uncultured bacterium
Lineage: Bacteria
Description: bacterial SSU rRNA
Rfam family: Bacterial small subunit ribosomal RNA
Source: RNAcentral